RNAcentral lists this ribosomal RNA (200 nucleotides) under uncultured bacterium. RNAcentral describes it as "partial 16S ribosomal RNA". It matches the Rfam family "Bacterial small subunit ribosomal RNA", at positions 30 to 224 of the family's 1533-position model. The record is from RNAcentral.
AUUGAACGCUGGCGGUAGGCCUAACACAUGCAAGUCGAACGGCAGCACAGCAGUAGCAAUACUGUGGGUGGCGAGUGGCGGACGGGUGAGGAAUACAUCGGAAUCUACCUUUUCGUGGGGGAUAACGUAGGGAAACUUACGCUAAUACCGCAUAAGACCUUCGGGUGAAAGCCGGGGACCUUCGGGCCUGGCGCGGAUAG